GGAGAGGUGGCCGAGUGGUCGAUGGCGCACGCCUGGAAAGUGUGUAGGCGGGGAACCGUCUCGAGGGUUCGAAUCCCUCUCUCUCC
This 86-nucleotide transfer RNA is filed under the name Paracoccaceae bacterium. RNAcentral describes it as "Rhodobacteraceae bacterium (soil metagenome) tRNA-Ser". It matches the Rfam family "tRNA". Rfam says of the family: Transfer RNA (tRNA) molecules are approximately 80 nucleotides in length. Their secondary structure includes four short double-helical elements and three loops (D, anti-codon, and T loops). Lineage: Bacteria; Pseudomonadati; Pseudomonadota; Alphaproteobacteria; Rhodobacterales; Paracoccaceae. The record is from RNAcentral.